AACAACUCUAUGAAUCGUAAAUCCGGCAAACCAAAAUAAUCACUUCUAUCCCUUAAAAAUCUACCUUCUUCACGAAGCAGCCGUAACUGAUCCCUACGUUCUUGUUCGUCGAAAAUUAUUAAAUUUAUAGGCAACAUUUUAUUUAAUUUCAACAAUAAACAUUUGUUUUUGUUUACCUUAUGCUUUUUUGGAAUUAUAGGUUAGUUAAAUCUGUCAAAUAUGUAGAAUCACAUCACAUUUCCACAGGACGGAGUUUAUCUAUGGCAUAGAACAAGACAAUUAUUACAGAACUCUAAAAUCUUGAAACGACGUGCUGUGUUGCCGUUAAUUUUUACCCAAUCGUUCGUUUCAAUUCGGUCCAGUUCGUAGAGUAUUGCGAUAGUAUAGCGAAGCGAAGCCACACCAUAGAGAAAUAACAACAAGAGAGAAGUCAAAAGAUAGGCAAUAACUGGAACACUCUUUCUGCGCAGGACGCCAUUUUGUGCGUUAGAAUUUGCAAUUUCCCGGCCCGGCAUAGAUAGAUAAUUUGGCGGUUUGUACUGAAUACUACUAAACAUAUUUUCUAUUUUCAUUACUGGAUAGUGCUGGAAUUGCUGAAAUUGAAUAUCGGAACUUGGAAUUACAGAGAAGUGAUAUAGACUAAUCAUCAUCAUCAUCAUCAGCCCCUCUCGAUCCACUGCUGGACAUAGGCCUCCCAUGUUUGUAGACAAGUAGAAGAGACAAGUAGACUAA
This is a long non-coding RNA of Diabrotica virgifera virgifera (western corn rootworm), 732 nucleotides long. RefSeq lists it as uncharacterized. The transcript is spliced from 3 exons. NCBI's taxonomy places the organism in Eukaryota, Metazoa, Arthropoda, Insecta, Coleoptera, Chrysomelidae. The record is from RefSeq and is a predicted model, not a curated record.